AUAAAAUUUAAAAAUAGACUUAUUUAAAGGCAAAAGUAAGAUUUCCUCCAUAUUUUUGUUGCCUUCUCAGCAAUGUUGAAGCUCAAAGUCAAAAGAAAUACGUUAUAAGUAGAAUUUAAGUAACUUUCAUUUGUGGUUGUUUACUUAUCAGGAUUCAUCUAGGCAUUUCAACUAUGCCAAAUGUCAUUUCAGACUAAAACAUUUGAGCGACCUGCAUCAUCAAUUUGCACCCAUCAAUAUUAGAUGAUCAUUAGUAGUAGGGAAAGAAGUGAGAAUAAGAGAAAGGAGAUGAUAACGAGAAAAGUGUUAUUAAAAUAUUUAUAAAUUUUAAAUAUUGUUGCGAAUUUUGUGUUUAACAGAACUGUAAAAAGAUUCAUAUAGCUAAUUUCAACUGGCUAAUUCACUUGGUUGUUAUUGUCG
RNAcentral lists this unclassified non-coding RNA (420 nucleotides) under Hevea brasiliensis (rubber tree). The record is from RNAcentral. Lineage: Eukaryota; Viridiplantae; Streptophyta; Magnoliopsida; Malpighiales; Euphorbiaceae.